Molecule: ribosomal RNA, 301 nt
Filed under: uncultured bacterium
Lineage: Bacteria
Description: partial 16S ribosomal RNA
Rfam family: Bacterial small subunit ribosomal RNA
Source: RNAcentral
CAGUCGCCGCGGUAAUACGAAGGGUGCAAGCGUUAAUCGGAAUUACUGGGCGUAAAGCGCACGUAGGCGGCUUGGUAAGUUAGAGGUGAAAGCCUGGAGCUCAACUCCAGAAUUGCCUUUAAGACUGCCGAGCUAGCAGGUGAGAGAGGUAAGUGGAAUUCCGAGUGUAGAGGUGAAAUUCGUAGAUAUUCGGAAGAACACCAGUGGCGAAGGCGGCUUACUGGCUCAUACUGGACGCUGAGGUGCGAAAGCGUGGGGAGCAAACAGGAUUAGAUACCCCAGUAGUCCCUGUCUCUUAUAC